RNAcentral lists this ribosomal RNA (509 nucleotides) under uncultured bacterium. Its description in RNAcentral is "bacterial SSU rRNA". It matches the Rfam family "Bacterial small subunit ribosomal RNA", at positions 19 to 518 of the family's 1533-position model. The record is from RNAcentral.
AUGGCUCAGGAUGAACGCUAGCUACAGGCUUAACACAUGCAAGUCGAGGGGCAUCAGGGAGAAAGCUUGCUUCUUGCUGGCGACCGGCGCACGGGUGAGUAACGCGUAUCCAACCUUCCCCUUAGUAGGGCAUAGCCCGGCGAAAGUCGGAUUAAUACCCUAUGUUAUCCGAAGAGGACAUCUGAAUUGGAUUAAGGAUUUAUCGCUAAGGGAUGGGGAUGCGUCUGAUUAGGUAGUAGGCGGGGUAACGGCCCACCUAGCCGACGAUCAGUAGGGGUUCUGAGAGGAAGGUCCCCCACAUUGGUACUGAGACACGGACCAAACUCCUACGGGAGGCAGCAGUGAGGAAUAUUGGUCAAUGGGCGCGAGCCUGAACCAGCCAAGUAGCGUGCAAGGAUGACGGCCCUAUGGGUUGUAAACUGCUUUUAUGCGGGGAUAAAGUGCGCCACGUGUGGUGUUUUGUAGGUACCGCAUGAAUAAGGACCGGCUAAUUCCGUGCCAGCAGCCGC